UGCACCAUCAUAGUUGGCUUCUUGUUGUUU
This 30-nucleotide non-coding RNA is filed under the name Mus musculus (house mouse). Lineage: Eukaryota; Metazoa; Chordata; Mammalia; Rodentia; Muridae. The record is from RNAcentral.